RNAcentral lists this ribosomal RNA (346 nucleotides) under uncultured eukaryote. Its description in RNAcentral is "SSU rRNA". It matches the Rfam family "Eukaryotic small subunit ribosomal RNA", at positions 594 to 945 of the family's 1831-position model. The record is from RNAcentral.
AUAGCGUAUAUUAAAGUUGUUGCAGUUAAAAAGCUCGUAGUUGAAUUUUAGGCCUGGUUGGACGGUCUGCCUCACGGUAUGUACUGUCUGGCUGGGGCUUACCUCUUGGUGAGCUUGCAUGUCGUUUAUUCGGUGUGCAAGGGAACCAGGACUUUUACUUUGAGAAAAUUAGAGUGUUCAAAGCAGGCAAAUGCCCGAAUACAUUAGCAUGGAAUAAUGGAAUAGGACGUGCGGUUCUAUUUUGUUGGUUUCUAGAGUCGCCGUAAUGAUUAAUAGGGACAGUUGGGGGCAUUAGUAUUGAGUUGCUAGAGGUGAAAUUCUUGGAUUUACUCAAGACUAACUACUG